RNAcentral lists this ribosomal RNA (463 nucleotides) under Histeromerus canadensis. RNAcentral describes it as "eukaryotic LSU rRNA". It matches the Rfam family "Eukaryotic large subunit ribosomal RNA", at positions 707 to 1129 of the family's 3401-position model. Lineage: Eukaryota; Metazoa; Arthropoda; Insecta; Hymenoptera; Braconidae. The record is from RNAcentral.
CCUAAAGGCGCAAUGAAAGUAAAGGUCGUCCUUGUGAUGAUUGAGGGAGGAUGGGCUGUGUUAAGAUACAGCUCCGCACUCCCGGGGCGUCUCAUUCUCAUUAUGAGAAGAGGCGCACCUAGAGCGUACACGUUGGGACCCGAAAGAUGGUGAACUAUGCCUGGUCAGGACGAAGUCAGGGGAAACCCUGAUGGAGGUCCGUAGCGAUUCUGACGUGCAAAUCGAUCGUCGGAACUGGGUAUAGGGGCGAAAGACUAAUCGAACCAUCUAGUAGCUGGUUCCCUCCGAAGUUUCCCUCAGGAUAGCUGGCACUCGCGUUAUACGAGUCUCAUCUGGUAAAGCGAAUGAUUAGAGGCCUUGGGGCCGAAACGACCUCAACCUAUUCUCAAACUUUAAAUGGGUGAGAUCUCUGGCUUGCUUGAAUAUAUGAAGCCAUGAGAUUUCGGAUCAGAGUGCCAAGUGG